ACGACAUGGGUAAAUUUGUUUAUUUCCACGAUAGUUAUUUUUUUUUAUUAUUUACCUUAUUUAUUAAUUGGGAUUUAUUCUUGAUCUUGGGUUUUGAAUAAUGACAUGGACAUGCCUGGACCUUCUCCAUGCGACACUAGCUUGCACAUAGGUUCUUCAAAGGGAGGAGAGUUUUCUCUCCAUUGAUUUGUAUAGUGAUGGUUUAUGGGACUUGGGUAUUUGCUUUGGAUCAUUGACUUUGAGUUGUUGGAUUUCCUAUAGGGCCUUUGAUUUAUUCCUUUGGGCCUAAUUUGGUUUGAUUUUUGUUUUCUAUUUAUUGGUAUUGGACAUUGGCCUUUUAGAUUGCUGAUUGGUUUGAUUUGAGCCUAAUUGAAUUUGCUUUAUUUGAGCCUAAUUGCACUUGCUUUAUUUGUUUCUUUGGGUUUGCUUGUAUUUAGGUUAGUAUGUUGACAUUAUGCUGAGAGCAAGAAGAAGCAUAGUGCAUAUGUUGGAGGUGGGUGGAGUGGUUGAAGCAAGGUAUGGGCAAGAGCAGAUUUGAGAGGACGAGAUUAAAGACUUCAUAUAUUCUUUGUAUUUUUUUUUUUUUUUUUGUGAAAAUGGGGGGUGGGGGGCUGGACGUUUCUAGAGGAUGGGCUCUCUUUCUUGGUGUAUUUUUCUAUGAAUGUUUUGU
Molecule: long non-coding RNA, 670 nt
Filed under: Vitis vinifera (wine grape)
Lineage: Eukaryota; Viridiplantae; Streptophyta; Magnoliopsida; Vitales; Vitaceae
Description: long non-coding RNA (VVIN_LNC000467)
Source: RNAcentral